This 309-nucleotide unclassified non-coding RNA is filed under the name Hevea brasiliensis (rubber tree). The record is from RNAcentral. Lineage: Eukaryota; Viridiplantae; Streptophyta; Magnoliopsida; Malpighiales; Euphorbiaceae.
CUUACCCCUAACCUAAACUUUGCACUUUUUACACUUCAGGAUUGAAGCUAAGUUUCAUUGCAAUCCACGAAUGGAAUUUGCUGUUGUUAGCACUAUCUAAUUUCAACGCCACGUUGACAAUUUUUAUGACUUUUUGUGAUCUAAAUGCAAAAGGCUGAAAGUACAUGUCUUGAAUUGCCAACAAAAAAAGUUUAAGCCCUAGACACUAAAAGCAUAAAAAUUUCAAAAGUACAUAAAAAAAGAAAUAAGAAAGAGAUGAAGAGAGAAAAAUAAAAAUAAAAAUUGGAAAGAGAUGGAGGCAUGGAAAAG